AGGUGAUUAGUCCAAUUAAGACCACUAAUUUCGACCUAGUAAAUCAUGUUUAAUACCAUGAUCACCUU
This 68-nucleotide transfer RNA is filed under the name Pseudemydura umbrina (Western swamp turtle). RNAcentral describes it as "tRNA-Arg". The record is from RNAcentral. Lineage: Eukaryota; Metazoa; Chordata; Testudines; Chelidae.